GAUGUUGGGGUUAAGUCCCCGCAACCGAGCGCAACCCCUUGCCCUUUAGUUGCCCAGCAUUAAGUUUGGGCACUCUAGAGGGACUGCCGAGGAUAACUCGGAGGAGGGUGGGGAUGACGUCAAAUCAUCAUGCCCCUUAUGCUUAGGGCUACACACGUGCUACAAUGGGUGGUACAGAGGGUUGCCAGGCCGCGAGGUGGAGCUAAUCCCUUAAAGCCAUUCUCAGUUCGGAUUGUAGGCUGAAACUCGCCUACAUGAAGCUGGAGUUACUAGUAAUCGCAGAUCAGAAUGCUGCGGUGAAUGCGUUCCCGGGUCUUGUACACACCGCCCGUCACACCAUGGAAGUUGGGGGCGCCCGAAGCCGGUUAGCUAACCUUUUAGGAAGCGGCCGUCGAAGGUGAAACCAAGACUGGGGUGAAGUCGUAACAAGGUAACCUAAUCUAGAGCA
RNAcentral lists this ribosomal RNA (448 nucleotides) under uncultured bacterium. RNAcentral's name for it is "bacterial SSU rRNA". It matches the Rfam family "Bacterial small subunit ribosomal RNA", at positions 1071 to 1533 of the family's 1533-position model. The record is from RNAcentral.